RNAcentral lists this unclassified non-coding RNA (178 nucleotides) under uncultured fungus. RNAcentral's name for it is "sequence contains ITS1". Lineage: Eukaryota; Fungi. The record is from RNAcentral.
UUGUUUAAUUUACUUAAACUCCGACGCAAAGAUGCAGUGUUUGAUGGUCUCCGGGGGCGCUCGCCGUCGAAACGGCAGGGUCGCCCCCGAAGCAACAAGUUGUGUUCACAAAGGGUUGGAGGUCGAGCCCGAAGGCCCUCACUCAGUAAUGAUCCCUCCGCAGGUUCACCUACGGAGA